This 8327-nucleotide long non-coding RNA is filed under the name Solanum tuberosum (potato). RNAcentral describes it as "long non-coding RNA (STUB_LNC010166)". Lineage: Eukaryota; Viridiplantae; Streptophyta; Magnoliopsida; Solanales; Solanaceae. The record is from RNAcentral.
ACGAGAGUGACCAUAUUCAGGUAAGAACCUCAAAUUUGAACUCUUUAAUCCCAUAAUAAAUUGUAUAUUCAUGAAUUAAUGAAUGUGUUGUCACUUGGAGGGGAAGGAGUAUUAUAUUGGUUUUUAGAAUGCAUUAUUCUUUCAAUUAAUGUUGUUGUACGUGGAUUUGGGAAUUUGGGGUACAAGUUUUAGUGGGGUAUUCAUGUGAGGUAGGUCAGGAGGUAAGGAAUUGGAUGUUGGGCAACAUGUUACAGUGGGGGAAGAGAAAGUAUUGUCCUCGAUUGUUAAUUAAUGAGGUGCUAAUGAUUACUAUUUCAGAGAAGGCAUAAUUUCUGUAUAUUUCUAACCAUAAAUUGACACCACCGACAUUUUUAUGUGGCUCCGUUGUUUGAGAUUUUCUUUAGUUAUCAUAUUAUGACUCACGUUUUAAUAUCUUGAGUAGGUAGUUAAAUAUUAGAAGUAUGGUAUUACGUGAAUACCAUUCGAAUUAUGAUAUUGGGAAAAUUGGGACUUAACCCUAGACUUGAAACUUGGAAAAUAUGAUAGUUGAAAUGUUGAUUGACAUCAAGAUUUACGAACUGGAUUAUAAAUUUGGGUGAAUUGUUGGUUCAAGGCUAAACACAUAGUAAUGUGGGUGUUGUUAAUUUCAAAAUCUUAUGGUAGGAAUUUGUUUGGAUAGAUUGUAUUGAUUUGGUGCCCAGUGUAAGGGGAAGACUCAAGUCCCGGAGUGAUUGUUCGACUAUUUGAGGCAAGUGAAUUUCUAAACCCUUGUUAAGUGUAUGGAAUUCGUGUAUUUCCUUGUAACAUGUGUUUGGAGGUAAUGAGACUUGGUGAUGGGUUGACUUGUCCACAUUGAUUAAUUCUAAUAAUGGAAAAGGGGUAAUAAAAGGCAAUGUGAUUAAUUAUUUGUGUGUGAUGUGUUGAGAAUUGUUUGUGACGGGCAUUGGUACGAAUAUCGGUGUUAUAAAGGGAAAGUUUAUUACUAUAGAAUACAGAUUGUAAUCCGAGAAUGUCAAAGCAUAUGGGCAUUAGCUGAUAUAUUAUUGACUUGAUUUAUUAUGUGUGAUUGUGUUCUUUAUUAAACCCGUAUACUGGUGAUAGCUGAGGUAAUUGCAUAUCAUAUUGAUAUUUGAUUAAGAUACAUCAUUCCUUUUAUUGAAAUCAUAUUGUGCACAUGUAUUGACAUGAGAUUGAGUAUAAGUUGGGCACGUGGAGAUCGUCCGUGCUAGGGAUGGUAAGAUGUUAAAAUUAUAAUUUGGCACGUGGAGAUCGUUCGUGUGAAAUUUGUUUGAUUCAUGAUAGUGCGUUGAGACCGUCCGCACAAACACGUAAAGAUCGUCUGUGUCGGUAUAUGGACCUCGCGAGUCCCCCAUGCGUCAUGAACUCUCGAUGUAUUUCCGAGGAGUAUCAUGUAUAUACGGUUGAGAGAGUACUUGGUAUUCUGAGGCAUAUCAUUUCAUGGUGUCAUAUUGCAUUGCAUCCCAUGACGUCCUUCAUUCUUGAUGAUUAUAUAUUUUAUUGAUGGUUGGAAAGUACCUGAUGUUUGAUUACCUCUAUUUGAUGAAUUUGAUCUUAUGUGUUGUUGAUAUUUGUGAGUGCCUUUUUGUGAAAGUUGUGAUUGAUGAAUAUUGAGUUUGUUGUUGAGGAUAUGUAAUUUGUUAAAGUGAUUGUUGUUGAGCUGAGUGUUAUGUAAAUUGUGAACUGUUAGGUUGGACUGGUUUUAUGCAGGUUGUAGUUGUAGAGGUUCGGUUGGGGUGUAAUGAGUACCCGUAUUCUAUUCCCUUAGCUUGUGUUUAGAGAUGUACUUGCUGAGUAUCGUGUGGUUUGGUACUCACCCCUUGCUUCUACAAUUUUUUGUAGGUUACGAGCCUGGAUUUUGUGAUACUUUCCAUUCUCCUAUUUUCCGAGGCUUUUUGGAGAUUUGUGAAGUAGUUGUUUAUCAUCUCAGUGGACCUUCUUACUCCUUAUUUAUGAUAUUGUUCUAUUUUAGAGACAACAUCAUUUGAGACUUACGUUUUCUUUCAAAUCUAUUGUAAUACUUUAGAGGCUUGUACACGUGACAACCAGAUUUUUGGGGUAUUUUUGAGUUAAUUAUGAAAUUUCUGUAUUUUAAUGUAAUGGGUGAGUGUUAGGGUGUGGACAAGCUGAGUCUAAGUAGAGUCUCGAAGAUCGGUACGGAGACGUCAGUACUUAUCUUUGAGAGGCUAUAGUGACUUUUAGGAAAAAUCUUCACUUUUUGAAUCUCUAUCGUGCAUCCUUGGUCCGAUUUGAUCCUUAUCACUUCACUUCAUUCUCACUCAUUUAUGUGAUGACUCAUGCGUAAUUCCUCAUGUGAGUAUUUGGUGUGUUGUAUUUGUCUUGGAUGUUAGAUUUGUUACAAAUAUGGAAGUGAUAGACUUAUGGGAAAGAUGUGUUGUCAGAUUUAGAAUGUUCAACGAUUCGAAUAGAUUGAGUUAAGUUAUGACUUGACGAAACAUUUUGAGGAUAUUUGGAUGGCUAGAUUGAACAGUGGUUUUAGGGACUUCAUGAGCGUAUACUUUUUUUGGGCUAGUCAUCUAGUAGUGGGAUCAAUACUUGUGUGGUAUAGGCAAUAUUUGGAGUGGUUUGACAAUUGAAAGUGGAUGAUUAAAAUGAUGGCUAGAUAAGGAACAUUGUAACUUCGCAAAAUACAGUUACUAAAGUGGUUAUAACAUGUAUGAAUUUCUUAGCGAAUCAUGAGAAAGAUGUUGCACCAAUUGUGGUCAGAACCUCUACUGCGAUUUUAUAGAUUGAAUGUGUAUCAAAGGAGGUCAUGAUCGGACUACUACAAUAGUGUCGAUGUUUACUUGGUUAGAAUUACGGAAUGUGUUACUUCUACUACCAACCUGAUCUAAGAAAUAAUGCAUAUCUCUUGGGAUAGAGACUGAAUAGAUUUAAGAAUGUUUUGUAGAUAUUCAAUAGAUAGAAAUGUGUGGGCUAUUUGGGUACAAUCUUCUCGAUAGGUAUGAUGUGUUCUAGUGAUUGAUCUAAUGGACUUUCAUUAUGUGAUACAGUGGUAUAUGAAAAUGGAUACAUCGAUUGUCAAGUGUGAAUACUAACUACUUAAAGAGUUAUCAAUUGUAUCACAUGCUCAUAUAAUAAGAUUUGAUGUUGCAUUCAUAUUUGAGAAACCAACUAGCUUGUUACUGCGAACGAAUGGGUUAAGCAUUAUUUAUAAGAAAGCUUUUAGUGGUGAAUCGUUGGGUACAAUAUUAAUGCAUUCAGGUUGUAGAAUGUAUCUCGGGAAUUUUAAAUGAGUGGUGAUUUCAUUGUAAGCUCCAUGGAAGUGGAUCGAUAUUAGAAUGACAAGCUUAUGGGUAAAGGAAGUCCCAACGAGUAUACUUGCGUGAAGGUAAUUGAGAAUUUUAGUAAGAAAUUGUGUAUAAAAUUGAGUUAGUCCUUUGGAUUUGAUUGGUAUAACUAGGUUUGAGGUGUCAUAUCGAUGAUAAUGUUGACUUUGUGGUGAUGUUGAUGGUUGCCUGAGCAUAAUUGUAGUAAGAGUUCGUGAUGGAUUGUGAUUAAGAUGCAACUAUAUAAUAAUGAUUGUUGGUUAAAUGGAUUUUGUAUGGUAAUGACGACUUGCAAGUACCUAAUGUUGUGGUUUUCUACUAUUUGAUGAGUAACGUGGUUGCAUGGAAAGUUAUAAGAGGUGCUGAGACACCACUCGAAUAGAAUUGAAAUGUACUAGAGUCAUAAUGAAAAAAUAGUGGGAUGUAGUGUAGCCUUUGGAAAGAGGUGAGGACAACAAUAUUUUCUCUUAUUGCAAGGGCUAAAGAGGUAUCUUCAAAGGAAUUGAGAAUUGAGGUAUAAAGACAUGUGGUUCCAUCUAUUUUACUAUGGUUAUGGUGAUAGUGUUACGUGCCAUUCAUAUCAGUUAAAAGUUGUUGGAUAAGAUUUGAGAAAGAAGUCUAUAGACGUUUGACUCGAGGGUGAUGAUAAGUGCUUUAUUUUUUUGAGUUUGAUAAUUGGUACAAUUGAAUUUUAACGAAGGUUACGGUAAGAUCAAUGGAGAGGCGAUCAAUUAUAGGCUAAGAUACGUGAAUUCAUAAAGAUCUUCAAGGUAUGAGCUAAUGUUGAUAGAUAAUGGGAUUGUGUUACAUAGUUGGAUUCAAAAGUUCAAGUUUUUCAUGGUGAGUUUAUGUUCGUGAUAGUAUGUUUUGUCAAGGUAUGGAUAGAUAAGGUAAGAAAUGAUCGAUCGCUUUGAAUAUUGAACAUUUGGAAGGACUUGUACAUGAUUUGAGUCAUAAAGUGUGUUAUUUUGGUUUUUUCAAUGGACCUAAGAAAAGAUUUCAUUUAAUGUUUUUAUUUAGAGGAUAAGGUAAAAAUGUCAAGGGUUGUUGGCCAAAGAAUAAGAUUGGUGAGCGAGACAACAAAAUGAACAAGUGUCUGGUGUAUUGAAAAGUUCAAGAUAUUUAGACUUUUAUGUCAUGCGAAAGAUUUAAGAAAAAUGAAGGAAUAAAACAUCUCGUAUAAGCCAAUGGUUUGUAGCCUAUUAGUUUAGAUAUAACUGUGAGAUGUGAACUAGUUUGGUACAGACUUACUAGGAAUUUAUCUUCGACUUUUCUAAAGAUUGAGUUUUUGUUUGGUGAUAAGCAAUGAUGUGUGGAAGAUUCUAUGUGGUUAUGUCAAGCUAGAUUGUUUAAAUUAUGAUAGGUAACUUAUUGAUGAUCAACGGUGUGGACCUACAGUUUUAUAUGAUUAAUGAGGAUUUCGAGGGGAUUGAAACUACUUUGUUGAUGGGACGACACAAACAGUUAUGAUGUGCUACAUAGGCAUUUGAUAGUGAGUAAAGGUUAUGAGCUUAUAGUAUACCGAAUUAUUAGAGUGACCAAGAAUUUCUCUAAGUUUUAACAUGAGGUAUAUGAUAGGUUGAAUGGUAAUUGAAACUUGGUAUGUGAAAGAUUGUAUGGAGUUGAAUUUGGGUGUGAUUUAAUAGUUUUAUCUUGAUGGAAAGGUACUAUCAAAUUUGAAAUUAGUGUUAUCAGCCUUGUGUGGAACUCGUAUUUAUCAUAAAAUGCUUAUUUGGAAAGAGAGAGUGCCAUAGUUUGAAAAUUUUGGAGGUGAUAAUGUGUUUGUUAAAAGACUUUGAUACUAGUAACAGUUUGAGAGUAAGGUAAAUGAUUAAUGUGGUUAUGAUGAAUUGUUAAUAUUAGGAGUGUUGACUUUAAUGAAGUAUUGUGAGAUCAUGUGGGAUUCAAUGAAUCGAGUAAUGUUUACGAUUGUAAUGAAGACUAGACUAAUUGAUUGUGGGUGGCUAAAAAUCAAGGAGAUGGAGUUAGAUGGAUGAAAAUGUUUGAUAUGGGCACUAUGGAAGAAGUCUCUAGUGUUAUUCGACUUUGAUUCUAUAUAUUCUUAUAUGACCAUCUACUUCGUUUUGGAUAUGGUUUGGAGUGUGAUUUGCUACCUAUACCCACACAUGUUUUCAUUUCUAUGGGUGAAUUCCUAGUGGUGGAUCGGGUGUACCGAUCCUGUAAUUGUCCUCUUGGUGGGGUGGCAUCCUUGGCUAGACUUGUUCACUUCAGUUGCGGCAUAUUUGGUGUUGUCUGGAAAAGUAGAAGUAUACCAUUGUUUCUAUAUGCACGAUCUUCCUUAUGAGAACUUAUAUAAGAGAUUUCGUGAAUAGUUACAGUUAUCUGACAGUGUUGUUAAAGGUUCUACAUCCUAGACUGUACCACUUGUUAGGUGCUUACUUGAUCUUGUUCUUCUUUGGAUUAGAUAUGUUUGAUUCUCCCUUGAUGGGUACCCGAUGUCUAAAGAUCAGAUUUUUAUAACUUAAGCUUGUGAAAAGAUGGUGUUGUGAAAAGGGAAUCGUGAUAAUAUAUGUGAUGGUAUGUGCAUUAUGAGUGUCUGGUGGUUGAUUCAGGCUCGCUUCUAGUUGUAGUCAGUAUUGAUUCAGAAGGUUUUCUUGGUUAUGUGAGAAAAGAUUCGUCAUGAUGUUUGUGUUAUGGUCCAGAGGGCUUCAGUUUAGCUUUGGUUCAUAGAUUAGUCUGUGGGUUAGUAAUCAAUCGUGAUUUGUAAAUUUGUCAAAUUUGAUUACAAAGUUCAGUAAUUAGUAGUUGAUCUUGAUAGGAUGGUCUUAAGGAGGAGCUCACUAGGAGAGAUGAGCACCGAGUCUAAAAGAUCAUUUCUCAGGCUUUUGGUAACAUCGGUUAUUCUUCCUUCUCCGUCUUUAUGUUCGAGGAUGAACAUGAUUUUUAGUGGUGGAUAAUGUAACGACCCUCUUAGUCGUUUUAUGAAUUUUAAUCAUUAUUUUUAUAUUAACCCUUUUUAGUAGCUUUUACAAAUAAUUUAUAUGACUUAUAAGAAUGAGUGAUAUGAUUGUCAGAUUUAAUAAAAGAUUAUUUUGUUGUUAAUAAUAAUAGAAAAGAAAAAUAAAAUAAAAAAAUUUAAAGAGAAAUAAAAGGGUAAAUAUUGCUGGCUGUUGUGAACAACAACAGUUCGCGCAGAGGGAAAAAAUAGAAAAAAAGAAAGGGUUUGGGCGAGAACUUACCUGCGAGUUGCGGCGUCCCACGAGAGUGACAAUAUUCAGGUAAGAACCUCAAAUUUGAACUGUUUAAUCCCAUAAUAAAUUGUAUAUUCAUGAAUUAAUGAAUGUGUUGUCACUUGGAGGGGAAGGAGUAUUAUAUUGGUUUUUAGAAUGUAUUGUUCUUUCAAUUAAUGUUGUUGUACGUGGGUUUGGGGUACAAGUUUUAGUGGGGUAUUCAUGUGAGGUAGGUCAGGAGGUAAGGAAUUGGAUGUUGGGCAACAUGUUACAGUGGGGGAAGAGAAAGUAUUGUCCUCGAUUGUUAAUUAAUGAGGUGCCCAGUGUAAGGGGAAGACUCAAGUCCCGGAGUGAUUGUUCGACUAUUUGAGGCAAGUGAAUUUCUAAACCCUUGUUAAGUGUAUGGAAUUCGUGUAUUUCCUUGUAACAUGUGUUUGGAGGUAAUGAGACUUGGUGAUGGGUUGACUUGUCCACAUUGAUUAAUUCUAAUAAUGGAAAAGGGGUAAUAAAAGGCAAUGUGAUUAAUUGUUUGUGUGUGCUGUGUUGAGAAUUGUUUGUGACAUGCAUUGGUACGAGUACCAGUGUUAUAAAGGGAAAGUUUAUUACUAUAGUUUGCGGAUUGUAAUUCGAGAAUGCCAAAGCAUAUGGGCAUUAGCUGAUAUAUUAUUAACUUGAUUUAUUAUGUGUGAUUGUGUUCUUUAUUGAACCCGUAUACUGGUGAUAGCUAAGGUAAUUACAUAUCAUAUUGAUAUUUGAUUGAGAUGCAUCAUCCCUUUUAUUGAAAUCAUAUUGUGCACAUGUAUUGACAUGAGAUUGAGUAUAAGUUGGGCACGUGGAGAUUGUCCGUGCUGGUGGUGAGAUGUUAAAAUUAUAAUUUGGGCACGUGGAGAUCGUCCGUGAGAAAUUUAUUUGAUUUAUGAUAUUGCGUUGAGAUCGACCGCACAAAAACGUGGAGAUCGUCCAUGUCGGUAAUGGACCUCGCGAGUCCCCCAUGUGUCAUGAACUCUCGAUGUAUUUCCGAGGAGUAUCAUGUAUAUACAGUUGAGAGAGUACUUGGUAUUCUGAGGCAUAUCAUUUCAUGGUGUCAUAUUGCAUUGCAUCCCGUGACAUCCUUCAUUCUUGAUGAUUAUGUGUUUUAUUGAUGGUUGGAAAGUACUUGAUGUUUGAUUACCUCUAUUUGAUGAACUGAUCUUGUGUGUUGUUGCUAUUUGUGAGUGCCUUUUUGUGAAAGUUGUGAUUGAUGAUUAUUGAGUUUUGUUGUUGAGGAUAUGUAAUUUGUUACAGUGAUUGUUGUUGAGCUGGGUGCUAUGUAAACUGUGAACUGUUAGGUUGGACUGGUUUUAUGUAGGUUGUAGUUGUGGAGGUUCGGUUGGGAUGUAAGGAGUACCCGUAUUCUAUUCCCUUAGCUUGUGUUUAGAGGUGUAGUUGUUGAGUAUCGUAUGAUUUGGUACUCACCCCUUGCUUCUACAAUCUUUUGUAGGUUGCGAGCCUGGAUUUUGUGAUACUUUCCAUUCUCUUAUUUUUUGAGGCUUCUUGGAGAUUUGUGAGGUAGUUGUUUAUCAUCUCAGCGGACCUUCUUACUCCUAUUUAUGAUAUUGUUCUAUUUUAGAGACAACAUCUUUUGAGACUUACGUUUUCUUUCAAAUCUAUUGUAAUACUUUAGACGCUUGUACACGUGACAACCAGAUUUUUGGGGUAUUUUUAAGUUAAUUAUGAAAUUUCCGUAUUUUAUUGUAAUGGGUGAGUGUUAGGCUGACUUGUCUUGGUGGGAUAAGACGAGUGUCAUCACGUCUAUUUUUGGGUCGUGACAAUCAAAGUUUCUCCGCAC